GCUGGGUGAGGCGGCACACACCUGUAAUCCCAGCAACCCAGGAGGCUGAGGCAGGAGGAUUGCAAGUUCAAGGCCAGCCUCAGCAACUCAGCAACAUCCUGUCUCAA
RNAcentral lists this small RNA (107 nucleotides) under Marmota monax (woodchuck). Lineage: Eukaryota; Metazoa; Chordata; Mammalia; Rodentia; Sciuridae. The record is from RNAcentral.